CACUACCUAUCCCAAGCCAGAAACAAAAUACCUAUUAUCACAACCCUUACCCUAGUUACCCUGCUAUCAAUAGGAGGACUCCCGCCACGAUCAGGGUUCAUACCCAAAUCAAUAAUCAUCCAAGAAAUGACAAAAAAAACCA
Long non-coding RNA from Balaenoptera musculus (blue whale), 142 nucleotides. RefSeq lists it as uncharacterized. The record is from RefSeq and is a predicted model, not a curated record. The transcript has 3 exons. NCBI's taxonomy places the organism in Eukaryota, Metazoa, Chordata, Mammalia, Artiodactyla, Balaenopteridae.